UGCAGGUCGAGGGGCGAGCGGGAAGUUAGCUUGCUAACUUGCCGGCGACCGGCGCACGGGUGAGUAACGCGUAUCCAACCUCCCCUUAGAGGGUUUUUCAUAGCCCGUAGAAAUGCGGAUUAAUACCCUAUGUUAUUCGUCGAGGACAUCUGAAGUGAAUCAAAGGUUUACCGCUAAGGGAUGGGGAUGCGUCUGAUUAGGCAGCAGGCGGGGUAACGGCCCACCUGGCCGACGAUCAGUAGGGGUUCUGAGAGGAAGGUCCCCCACAUUGGAACUGAGACACGGUCCAAACUCCUACGGGAGGCAGCAGUGAGGAAUAUUGGUCAAUGGUCGAGAGACUGAACCAGCCAAGUAGCGUGCCAGGAUGACGGCCCUAUGGGUUGUAAACUGCUUUUAUGCGGGGAUAAAGUGACGUACGUGUACGUUUUUGUAGGUACCGCAUGAAUAAGGACCGGCUAAUUCCGUGCCAGCAGCUGC
This 477-nucleotide ribosomal RNA is filed under the name uncultured bacterium. Its description in RNAcentral is "bacterial SSU rRNA". It matches the Rfam family "Bacterial small subunit ribosomal RNA", at positions 56 to 518 of the family's 1533-position model. The record is from RNAcentral.